RNAcentral lists this ribosomal RNA (253 nucleotides) under uncultured bacterium. RNAcentral describes it as "partial 16S ribosomal RNA". It matches the Rfam family "Bacterial small subunit ribosomal RNA", at positions 524 to 776 of the family's 1533-position model. The record is from RNAcentral.
UACGUAGGGGGCAAGCGUUGUCCGGAUUUACUGGGCGUAAAGAGCGUGUAGGCGGCCAGGCAGGUCUGUUGUGAAAACUGGAGGCUUAACCUCCAGACGUCGACAGAAACCGCUUGGCUAGAGUCCGGAAGAGGAGAGUGGAAUUCCUGGUGUAGCGGUGAAAUGCGCAGAUAUCAGGAAGAACACCAAUGGCGAAGGCAGCUCUCUGGGACGGUACUGACGCUGAUGAGCGAAAGCCAGGGGAGCAAACGGG